RNAcentral lists this ribosomal RNA (317 nucleotides) under Escherichia coli. RNAcentral describes it as "partial 23S ribosomal RNA". It matches the Rfam family "Bacterial large subunit ribosomal RNA", at positions 150 to 506 of the family's 2925-position model. The record is from RNAcentral. Lineage: Bacteria; Pseudomonadati; Pseudomonadota; Gammaproteobacteria; Enterobacterales; Enterobacteriaceae.
UCAUUAACUGAAUCCAUAGGUUAAUGAGGCGAACCGGGGGAACUGAAACAUCUAAGUACCCCGAGGAAAAGAAAUCAACCGAGAUUCCCCCAGUAGCGGCGAGCGAACGGGGAGGAGCCCAGAGCCUGAAUCAGUGUGUGUGUUAGUGGAAGCGUCUGGAAAGGCGCGCGAUACAGGGUGACAGCCCCGUACACAAAAAUGCACAUACUGUGAGCUCGAUGAGUAGGGCGGGACACGUGGUAUCCUGUCUGAAUAUGGGGGGACCAUCCUCCAAGGCUAAAUACUCCUGACUGACCGAUAGUGAACCAGUACCGUGA